AUAGCAGAUUGGUUUGUCGCUUUAUCGGUAUAGAUAAAGAGGAAAGUCCGGGCAACGCAGAGCACCAUACUUCCUAACGGGAAGCUGCUCGCAAGAGCAGAUGAGUGUAACAGAAAAUAACCGUCAGUCAGCUGACUGAUAAGGGUGAAAAGGUGAGGUAAGAGCUUACCGGUAUUAUUGGCAACAAUAGUAGCCGUACACAUUAUGGGUUGCAAGAUCAUGUACACCGACGCAUGUAGGAUGACUCGUCCGAUGUCGGGGGGUAGAUCGCUUGAGGUAAAUGGUAACAUUUAUCCCAGAUAAAUGACAAACACAGUGCGCGAGCAUUGAACAGAACCCGGCUUACAAGUCUGCUUUUUUU
RNAcentral lists this RNase P RNA (361 nucleotides) under Paludibacter sp. Its description in RNAcentral is "RNase P RNA component class A". It matches the Rfam family "Bacterial RNase P class A". Rfam says of the family: Ribonuclease P (RNase P) is a ubiquitous endoribonuclease, found in archaea, bacteria and eukarya as well as chloroplasts and mitochondria. Its best characterised activity is the generation of mature 5'-ends of tRNAs by cleaving the 5'-leader elements of precursor-tRNAs. Lineage: Bacteria; Pseudomonadati; Bacteroidota; Bacteroidia; Bacteroidales; Paludibacteraceae. The record is from RNAcentral.